This 388-nucleotide unclassified non-coding RNA is filed under the name Papenfussiella kuromo. Its description in RNAcentral is "partial ITS2". Lineage: Eukaryota; Phaeophyceae; Ectocarpales; Chordariaceae. The record is from RNAcentral.
GACACCACUCGCCCCGUCCCCCUAUUCCUUCUUACUUCUCGAGGAAGAGAGGAGGGGCGCGCCGGGGACUCUGCGUGUUCCGGAGCGCGAGCUCCUUGUGCACCGAACCUCGUGAACGAGACCUCCUCCCAUCAUUGUUAGCAUGUGCGACUGCCGGCAGGGACUUUUACUGGGCGGGAGUUGUUGACGGCGUGUUGCUCGCUCGACUCGAGCGACAAGACUCUCGACUCCCAAAACCCCGGAGUUUCGUGUUGUCGGUGGUGUUUUAUCGUACAUCAUUUGGUGAGAGGAUUAUCAAGUUGUAGUUCCGGUUGCCUCAUCACCUACCUACUUACUUACUUACUUGAUAGAUAGAUAAGUCUAGGUGAUGAUACUACCCCAACUUUCG